AAAUAAACUGACUGAUUAAUGUGAAAUUCAGCACUUUAGACAAGAAUUUGUGCAAAGUCAAAGGAAAACCUGGACCCUAAAAAAAAAAUUAUAGAGAGGCUCUGAUACUAAAGCAUGCAGAUCCCCUACUCUCCUGGCCAAGGUGACAACAAUCAUGAAAGCCACUUUCAUAGAAGGUGUAACGGAGAACAAGGUGACUCAAAGGGGCAACUCAUCAACUUUGCUAGAACUAAGUUUAAACUCCACUGUGGAAGUAGGUUAUGACCCUAUGGGUAUAACCUGAGCAAACCCUUUAGAAAUCUGAUGGGCAUCGGGUUAGAAAAAAUUGAUUGGUUAUCCACGGGAGAGUGGAAAGCAGCCAAAUCGACUUUGAUGGAACUAAGAGCUAACCCUUGUUGUUUCAGAAACAAAAGAUAGUCCAAGAUACAGCAAAUUGGAGCUUGAGCUGGGGAGACCUCUUUAUAAUGGAUCAAAUGGAGAAUAUCUUUAAUUUAGCAAGGUUGUUGCCAUGAAGCAUCCAUGCUGUCAGGUGGAGGUCCUGAAGGCUGGGAUGAAGGAGGUGGCCAUGGUCCUGGGAUAUCACUGCAACAUCUCUUGGGAAUAGCAGCAGACGUCUGACUGAUUGGUUUUUGACUCCUCUAACCCCUGUGUGGAUAGGGCCAUGCUGGGGCUAUUAGAAUAAGGUCUAUUUGGGGAGUCCCCCCACUACUAGAAAAUGAACCUUGACACAUACGUCUGAAGAGAUUACUCAUGGUGACCUGAAAACUAUCUGCUCAGGUGGUCUGCCAGUGUUUUGCACUCCCAGAAGGCAUCAGGACAAAUUUUUCAGUAUUAAGAGCCCCUCUGCAUUGAAAGUGGACUGAAUAGAGGCUAUGCUGGAAAAUACCCGAGACUUGGACUGGCCUCUCAAUAGACAGUCAUGCAGGUUCUGGGAACACAGCAAAAAAGGCUGAAACCAUUGGGACUGCUGUGGGCAGAACAGCUUUCUUAUUGCUGCUGGUGUAUAAAUUCCCAGAGAUUUAAGGAUUCAAGGGUGAUCCUUAAGACUAUGAACCUGCUCAUCUAGCUUAUUGCAAAAGAGCGAGUGGCCUUCAAAUGGGAGUCUUGAAUGGUUUAUUGCACAUCGAGGGGAAGACCUGAUGACUGCAGCCAAGAUGAACACCGCAGAGUGAUGGCAGAAGUCCUAAUUUGAGCCACAGAGUCUGCUGCAUCCAGGCAUGCUUGCAGUGCUGUUUUGGCAAUUAAUUUGCCCUCCUCCACCAUAGCAGCAAAUUCUUGUUUGCCUCAACAGGAAGCUUGUCUUUGAACUUCAGGAUAUUAUCCCAUAGGCUGAAGUCAUAUCAACCCACAGAGCCUUGCUGCUUCAUGAUCCUAAGCUGUAAACCUCCUAU
Long non-coding RNA from Dermochelys coriacea (leatherback sea turtle), 1391 nucleotides. RefSeq lists it as uncharacterized. The record is from RefSeq and is a predicted model, not a curated record. The transcript has 5 exons. Lineage: Eukaryota; Metazoa; Chordata; Testudines; Dermochelyidae.